UCCAAAGACUUUCGAUGGAGGACGGUC
This 27-nucleotide small RNA is filed under the name Bombyx mori (domestic silkworm). RNAcentral describes it as "ovarian small RNA-26454". The record is from RNAcentral. Lineage: Eukaryota; Metazoa; Arthropoda; Insecta; Lepidoptera; Bombycidae.